UUUGCCUACGGGGGGCAGCAGUGAGGAAUAUUGGUCAAUGGGCGGGAGCCUGAACCAGCCAAGCCGCGUGAAGGAAGAAGGCGCCAGGCGUCGUAAACUUCUUUUGUCGGGGAACAAAGGGCGCCACGCGUGGCGUUGUGAGUGUACCCGAAGAAAAAGCAUCGGCUAACUCCGUGCCAGCAGCCGCGGUAAUACGGAGGAUGCGAGCGUUAAUCGGAAUUACUGGGCGUAAAGCGCUCGUAGGCGGUAUGUCAAGCCAAGGGUGAAAUCCCCGCGCUCAACGUGGGAACUGCCUUUGAAACUGG
Molecule: ribosomal RNA, 305 nt
Filed under: uncultured bacterium
Lineage: Bacteria
Description: bacterial SSU rRNA
Rfam family: Bacterial small subunit ribosomal RNA
Source: RNAcentral